This 329-nucleotide unclassified non-coding RNA is filed under the name soil metagenome. RNAcentral's name for it is "partial contains 5.8S ribosomal RNA, internal transcribed spacer 2, and large subunit ribosomal RNA". The stretch from base 1 to 120 matches the Rfam family "5.8S ribosomal RNA", at positions 35 to 154 of the family's 154-position model. The record is from RNAcentral.
GAUGAAGAACGUAGCGAAAUGCGAUAAGUAAUGUGAAUUGCAGAAUUCAGUGAAUCAUCGAAUCUUUGAACGCACAUUGGGCCCCUUGGUAUUCCGAGGGGCAUGCCUGUUCGAGCGUCAUUAUAACCCCUCAAGCUCAGCUUGGUGUUGGGGCCUGCUGCACUGGCAGCCCUUAAAAUCAGUGGCGGCGCCAUCUGGCUCUAAGCGUAGUAAUUCUUCUCGCUAUGGAGUCCUGGUGGAUGCUUGCCAUCAACCCCCAAUUUUUCUAUGGUUGACCUCGGAUCAGGUAGGGAUACCCGCUGAACUUAAGCAUAUCAAUAAGCGGAGGA